CUGCUGCCUUCCGUAGGAGUCUGGGCCGUGUCUCAGUCCCAAUGUGGCCGAUCAACCUCUCAGUCCGGCUACCGAUCGUCGCCUUGGUGGGCCGUUGCCCCACCAACUAGCUAAUCGGCCGCGAGCCCAUCUUCCAGCGGAUUGCUCCUUUGGCUGCAUCGGGAUGCCCCAUCGCAGCGUUAUGCGGUAUUAGCAGUCGUUUCCAACUGUUAUCCCCCUCUGAAAGGCAGGUUGCUCACGUUG
Molecule: ribosomal RNA, 243 nt
Filed under: uncultured bacterium
Lineage: Bacteria
Description: partial 16S ribosomal RNA
Source: RNAcentral